RNAcentral lists this ribosomal RNA (119 nucleotides) under Pteropus alecto (black flying fox). Lineage: Eukaryota; Metazoa; Chordata; Mammalia; Chiroptera; Pteropodidae. The record is from RNAcentral.
GUCUAUUGCCAUGACACUCUGAACAAGCCUGAUCCCGUCUGGUCUCGGAAGCUAAGCAAGGUCAAGCCUGGUUAGUACUUGGAUGGGAGAUCACCUAAGAAGACCAGGUGCUGUAGGCG